RNAcentral lists this ribosomal RNA (342 nucleotides) under Triatoma brasiliensis. RNAcentral describes it as "partial 12S ribosomal RNA". Lineage: Eukaryota; Metazoa; Arthropoda; Insecta; Hemiptera; Reduviidae. The record is from RNAcentral.
CAUAAACAGUAAUUUGGUAAUCUUAGUAUUAAUAGUUAUGGUCUUUAAAUUAAAAGAAUUUGGCGGUAAUUUAGUCUGUUCAGAGGAAUCUGCCCUGUAAUUGAUAUUCCACGAUGAAUUUUACUUUGCCUGGGCUUGUAUAUCUCUGUCAUUGAAUGUCCUAUUAGGGUAUUUUCUGGAAUCUUUAAUGUGCAAAAUGUCAGGUCAAGGUGCAGCAAUGGUAGAGAAGAGGUGGAUUACAUUAAAUGUAUUUAUGGAUAGUGAAUAUGGAAAUAUUUUUGAAAUUGGAUUUGGAAGUAAUUUCUAUUAGAAUGUAGAUUUGAUUUUAGCUCUAAAUUAUGC